AAGCUUAUAGUUCAAUGGUAGAACGUCUUGCUCAUAACGAGACUGCUGUUGGUUCGAUUCCAGCUAAGCUUA
Molecule: transfer RNA, 72 nt
Filed under: Diacronema lutheri
Lineage: Eukaryota; Haptophyta; Pavlovophyceae; Pavlovales; Pavlovaceae
Also listed under: 1 other name
Description: tRNA-Met
Rfam family: tRNA
About the family: Transfer RNA (tRNA) molecules are approximately 80 nucleotides in length. Their secondary structure includes four short double-helical elements and three loops (D, anti-codon, and T loops). Further hydrogen bonds mediate the characteristic L-shaped molecular structure. tRNAs have two regions of fundamental functional importance: the anti-codon, which is responsible for specific mRNA codon recognition, and the 3' end, to which the tRNAs corresponding amino acid is attached (by aminoacyl-tRNA synthetases). tRNAs cope with the degeneracy of the genetic code in two manners: having more than one tRNA (with a specific anti-codon) for a particular amino acid; and 'wobble' base-pairing, i.e. permitting non-standard base-pairing at the 3rd anti-codon position.
Source: RNAcentral